Non-coding RNA from Pangasius djambal, 73 nucleotides. The record is from the annotation of a GenBank genome assembly. Lineage: Eukaryota; Metazoa; Chordata; Actinopteri; Siluriformes; Pangasiidae.
GUUCUAGUGGCUCAGUGGUUAAGCUGUUGAGUUAGAGAUCAAAAGGUCAUGUGUUUAAAUCCCAUCACCACCA